Molecule: transfer RNA, 68 nt
Filed under: Toxicochlespira sp. MNHN IM 2013-9841
Lineage: Eukaryota; Metazoa; Mollusca; Gastropoda; Neogastropoda; Conidae
Description: tRNA-Arg
Rfam family: tRNA
About the family: Transfer RNA (tRNA) molecules are approximately 80 nucleotides in length. Their secondary structure includes four short double-helical elements and three loops (D, anti-codon, and T loops). Further hydrogen bonds mediate the characteristic L-shaped molecular structure. tRNAs have two regions of fundamental functional importance: the anti-codon, which is responsible for specific mRNA codon recognition, and the 3' end, to which the tRNAs corresponding amino acid is attached (by aminoacyl-tRNA synthetases). tRNAs cope with the degeneracy of the genetic code in two manners: having more than one tRNA (with a specific anti-codon) for a particular amino acid; and 'wobble' base-pairing, i.e. permitting non-standard base-pairing at the 3rd anti-codon position.
Source: RNAcentral
GUAUAAAAAGCGAAAAUUCGCAUCUGGCUUCGGAUCAGAUUUUGGAGGUGUAAAUCCUUCUUUAUAUU